Molecule: non-coding RNA, 71 nt
Organism: Seriola dumerili (greater amberjack)
Lineage: Eukaryota; Metazoa; Chordata; Actinopteri; Carangiformes; Carangidae
Source: Ensembl
AAGACGCUAGUAAAAUGCCAUUACGAUGCCUUGUCAAGGCAAAAUUGCGAGUUAAACUCUCGCGCGUCUUG